This 443-nucleotide ribosomal RNA is filed under the name uncultured bacterium. Its description in RNAcentral is "partial 16S ribosomal RNA". It matches the Rfam family "Bacterial small subunit ribosomal RNA", at positions 338 to 795 of the family's 1533-position model. The record is from RNAcentral.
CCUACGGGUGGCUGCAGUGGGGAAUAUUGCACAAUGGGGGAAACCCUGAUGCAGCAACGCCGCGUGAAGGAAGACGGUUUUCGGAUUGUAAACUUCUAUCAAUAGGGAAGAAAGAAAUGACGGUACCUAAAUAAGAAGCCCCGGCUAAAUACGUGCCACCAGCCGCGGAAAUACUGAGGGGGCAAGCGUUCUCCGGAUUUACUGGUUGUAAAGGUAGAGUAGGCGGCAAAGUAAGCGAUAUGUGAAAGCCUUAAGCUUAACUUAAGUAUGGCAUAACGAACUAUCUAGCUAGAGUACAGGAGAGGAAAGCGGAAUUCCUAGUGUAGCGGUGAAAUGCGUAGAUAUUAGGAUGAACACCAGUGGCGAAGGCGGCUUUCUGGACUGAAACUGACGCUGAGGCUCGAAAGCGUGGGGAGCGAACAGGAUUAGAUACCCGUGUAGUC